This 500-nucleotide ribosomal RNA is filed under the name uncultured bacterium. RNAcentral's name for it is "partial 16S ribosomal RNA". It matches the Rfam family "Bacterial small subunit ribosomal RNA", at positions 30 to 523 of the family's 1533-position model. The record is from RNAcentral.
AUUGAACGCUGGCGGCAUGCCUUACACAUGCAAGUCGAACGGCAGCACGGGAGCAAUCCUGGUGGCGAGUGGCGCACGGGUGAGUAAUAUAUCGGAACGUGCCCAGUCGUGGGGGAUAACGCAGCGAAAGCUGUGCUGAUACCGCAUACGAUCUAUGGAUGAACGCGGGGGACCGCAAGGCCUCGCGCGAUUGGAGGGGCCGAUAUCAGAGUAGCUAGUUGGUGGGGUAAAGGCCAACCAAGGCGACGAUCUGUAGCUGGUCUGAGAGGACGACCAGCCACACUGGAACUGAGACACGGUCCAGACUCCUACGGGAGGCAGCAGUGGGGAAUUUUGGACAAUGGGCGCAAGCCUGAUCCAGCAAUGCCGCGUGCAGGAUGAAGGCCUUCGGGUUGUAAACUGCUUUUGUACGGAACGAAACGGUGAGCUUUAAUACAGUUUGCUAAUGACGGUACCGUAAGAAUAAGCACCGGCUAACUACGUGCCAGCAGCCGCGGUAA